Molecule: ribosomal RNA, 492 nt
Filed under: uncultured bacterium
Lineage: Bacteria
Description: partial 16S ribosomal RNA
Rfam family: Bacterial small subunit ribosomal RNA
Source: RNAcentral
AGUGAACGCUGGCGGUAGGCCUAACACAUGCAAGUCGAACGGCAGCACAGUAAGAGCUUGCUCUUACGGGUGGCGAGUGGCGGACGGGUGAGGAAUACAUCGGAAUCUACUUUUUCGUGGGGGAUAACGUAGGGAAACUUACGCUAAUACCGCAUACGACCUACGGGUGAAAGCAGUGGAUCUUCGGACCUUGCGCGAUUGAAUGAGCCGAUGUCGGAUUAGCUAGUUGGCGGGGUAAGGGCCCACCAAGGCGACGAUCCGUAGCUGGUCUGAGAGGAUGAUCAGCCACACUGGAACUGAGACACGGUCCAGACUCCUACGGGAGGCAGCAGUGGGGAAUAUUGGACAAUGGGCGCAAGCCUGAUCCAGCCAUACCGCGUGGGUGAAGAAGGCCUUCGGGUUGUAAAGCCCUUUUGUUGGGAAAGAAAAGCAGCAGGUUAAUACCCCGCUGUUCUGACGGUACCCAAAGAAUAAGCACCGGCUAACUUCGUG